UGGGUUUGUUCUGGGAUCACAGCUCUCCUCAUUCCCAAAGCCCAGGAAACCUUCUUGGACCCACCCCUGGGGAAGCCACUAGGUCCAGAUGCCUCUUCUCAAGACUGGCUCUCUCUCAGCGCCAGGGGACCAGGGAGCAGGCUUUUGGAAGUGGCCUCUGGCAGCGCCAUGGUGGACGAGGACAGUAGGAUUGGCUGAGGUUGAGAAGCGUCAUGGGACUGAAGUCCUCCCAGCAAGGCCUUCCUGGCAGAGUUGAGCUGAUUCCACAGGCCUUCCAGCCCUGUCUCAUUGCCUUGUAGAAGGAACACGGGGGCCAGAAGGGAGAGGCUGGCUUUGUUUGCAUAGUCCUUGAGGGGAGAAGGUACCAGGAGAAGUGGACCCUCCCCCUGCCCCGGGAACUCAGUGGCAGGAA
Molecule: long non-coding RNA, 412 nt
Organism: Chinchilla lanigera (long-tailed chinchilla)
Lineage: Eukaryota; Metazoa; Chordata; Mammalia; Rodentia; Chinchillidae
Exons: 3
Source: RefSeq, a predicted model, not a curated record